GGAUAACCAAUAAAGCUCAGCAGCUCAAGUUUAGGCGUUGCUUCUUCUCCAAACUCCACCGACCUGAGGUCAGGUAAAGCCAGCUGCAGGACCAUCAGACUCGGGAAUGUCUCUCGACGGAAAGUGAGAUUGAGCUCUUUACCCUUGAACGAACGCUUCAACAGACGUAGGAUGGCCAGGUUGGGUAGCUUGCCAAGGACCUGUAUGGUGGCAUCCAACUCUGAAAGCAUGGUCUCCUUUAGCUUCAGCUUCACAAGGCUAUUGAGCCCCCCGAUCCAUUCCGGCAAUUUGGCUAGAUUGCCGCGCACCAUGAGGCUCUGGAGGUUUUUUGGAGGCGAUGACACACCAUCCAAGCAGCCCUGUAAAUCUGGCUCGCUCAUUGAAUGCACUGUCAGAGAUUCUAGGCAGCGGAGAUCAGCAAGGGUGGAACAAAACUCUCCACAAUUUUUCUUGUCGAUGCCAAUCACUGCUAACCUGCGCAACUGGGUGAGCGCUUUUAUCUCCUUUAGGAUGCCCUGCCCCACAGCGAUGUUAACAACACUCAGUGUGCGCAGCAAUCUCAGCUUUCUGAAUCCUCUCGGCAAUACAAUUCCAUCUUCAAUCUCACCGGAUGUACUGCAGCCUAGUAUGAUACUGUAAUCGAUCGUAGCAUGAAUAUAAUGCAACUUCCUGAGAUUGAUGAUGGUCUUUGGCAAAUUUCUUAUCGAUGUUUGUUUAAUAUCCAGCGUCUGCAGUUGCUUCAGAUUACCCAAUGAAUCGGGCAGGCGAAAAAUACUGUUACAUCUUCUUAGAGAAAGGUAUUGUAGGUGAUGAAGCUUCCCAAUUUGCUCAAGAUGACGAUCAUAUAGAUAAUCUAUGUUUUCCAAGUCUAGUAUUCGCAGCAAACUCAUCUUGUUAGAAAUGAAAAAUGGCCUCCACUUUCCAAACACUGUUAAUGAUCGUAUACGAUUCAUGUCCACCAUGCUCUCGAAGUCUCUUUUAUCUCCCUCCCAAUUACUGUUUAUCGUAAGGUGGCGUACUGUGCCAUGUGUGUUUGAUCUGCAACCUUCUUCCAGUCUGAAAACAAGAUUUUCCUCCGUUGACUUUGAGAUGCUAAUUUCACGCAUGAGAUCAUGGACUUGGCAAGAGUCAAAUCCUUUUCUACUGUAGGCUGACUCAUGACAUGGUAGGAUCAUGCUCCUACCUAUUAAUUCCAUAAAGUAUCUAUCAGCUAUUUCCUCCGCAGACUUUUCACGGAUCUCCCUUGAAUAACCUUCUGCAGUCCACCGCCGCGUCAAACGUCUGCGGCUAAGUUUGUGGUCUUCAGGAAAGAUGGACAGAUACAAAAAACAAGACUUGAGAUGAUAGGGUAAACCAUCAUAACUUUUACUUAGGAUUGUUCUAAUGGCUUCAAGCUCAGGGUUUAUCUCCAAUUCAGCACUAAUAUGCUCAUUUAAUUUCCUCCACUCCAUGGCUGUUUUUGGUUGGUUAACCAAGAAACCACCGAUGGUGACUAUUGCAAGGGGAAGUCCGUUGCACUUCUUCAAGAUCAGUUUUGCUUCUUCAAUCAAAUCAGGACGACGUUGUUCCAGGUCUAUGGCCUCCUUAAAUACCUAAAUUCAAAAAGUGUAAGUUCUUUGAGUACUCUAAACUUAGAUCAUAGAUGAACAUAUUUAGUAGUUUAAUUGUAUUUGAAGUGAGGAUACAAUUGCUAGCCUAUGUGAAGUUUACCACAUUUUACUAUUUUUGUGUUCAGCUAUUUGAUCUAGAAGUGGAUUCAUGGGGUAAUCAGAGCGCUUUUCUACUACAUCCAUCAAUUUUGUAAUAUAUUAUCAAUGGACCACAAACUAAUGAUGGCACAUGAUAUAUGCCAUCAUAACUAGGAAGGAAACACUAUUUAUUGUUUAAAGGAGAUGAGCUUUUCACUAUGACAGAUUAAAAAAAAUGAAAAAUAGCCUAAAAUUUCUAAAAAAGGUAAAACAUCUGACAAUUUUGUUAGACCCCAGUUUCAAAUUGAACCACAACUUAUUAAAUACUUGGGAUGACUUAAUUACAUAGGAGACUAAAACACAUUUGAUAAUAACCAACUUAAUUAAAAUCCCACAAUAUAUAAAUUUGGUCCAUGUAGCACUAGUUAAUUUACCAAUGAUCAAUUUUAGUAAUAAAAUAAAGACACAAUAAUCAUGAGUUUUAAGACCAGGAUGGUUCUUUUCUAAAUGUAUAAAAUAUAAAUAAAUAAAUAAAUAUAUGUUGUGUAUGCGUGUGUGUAUUGGGCGUGAGCCCAGUCGUCUAGCGCCGGCCUGCCCUUGUUGGUUAGAGGGAUACGAGGAGAUCUUGAUUGGUCUUGUUUCUAUAAACCUCAAGAUCUCCUCACCUCUCUAUAUAUGUAUACUUAUCCCUCUAUUAUUCCAAUCUACUAUUCCACGCAAUCUCAUUGCUUUCAAAGGUUCUAGAUUUGGGACAAAUUUCAUCGAAAUUUUAGUUUUAUUGAUUUUCAUGAAAAGUUCAACUUAACGUAAAGCAUAAAGUCUGAUACUAAUGGGCUAAUCCCAUAUAUUUGUUACUUUUACUAAAUAUAAAAAAAUGUUUCGACCAACAUUUUCUGCGUCUGGCUCAUCACAUGUCUGUCUCGCAUCCGCAUUCAAUCUAUAUUUGACACUAUAUGUGUCCAACUUUGAAUUCCAAGAAUAAAUAUGGGACAUGAAUAUAGGAUACAUGAUUAGGAAUACCCAUCAGUAUCUGAUCCAUUUUCACCACAGUUUAUAAUGCCACACAUUUAUUUGAUUUUAAAAGUACAUGAUAGUUCAUGCAAAGAACAAUGUUAAUUAUCAGUACUUCAACACCUUAACGUAUGGUGCCACAUAUAGUAACAUAUAUACAGGCACAAUAGUGGUAAAAGGAAAUAAAGACAGUGGGUACCAAUACCUUUCUUGUGAAGAGGUCAAGUGCAUCCUUGUCCCCUAAAAUUUUGAGCUUAUAUAUAUUUUCUUGCUUCUCUGAACAAUACUUUGCAAUAUUCUCUUCCCUUGUUGUGAUUAUGAUCCGGCUUGUAUUUUCCAUUUUAGGAAAACUCUGUACUACCAUGUCCCACUCUGUAGUAGAUGACAAAUCAUCAAGAACAAUCAAGCACUUAAAUCCUUCUAAAAGCCUAGCCACCUCUUUAAUGAGGGCUUCAACACCCAUCGUUGGUAAUUCUUUUCUUGUGCCACCCCUCAAAUCCAUAAUUGACCUCCUCUCCUCAGAAGAUUCUGUGUGUAGUUGCAUGAUUAAGCUCUUAAGGAGCUCCUUCAGAAUGAAAGGACGCAUCACAGUAACAAAAACACACUUCUCAAACAUGCCAAUAAGAUGUUGGUUUUGGUAAACAUCCUUGAUUAGAGUGGUUUUCCCAAGACCACCCAUCCCCCAAAUAGAAAUCACUAAAAAUUGUUGACCAAGUUUAUCUGAAAUCAGUCCUGCCACGUCAGAUGCUUCUUUCUCUCGUCCAAUAAGCUUAGAUUCCUCUAAAGCGUUAGUCAUAGUCUUGAUGCGAGUAAGGUUAUUUCUGACCACCUUCCUGUCUUUGCUACCUUUAGAUUGAUUCUCCAAUAUCUCAUUGGUGGGCACUACUAGGUUCAAUGUACUUGUUGUGGCUGCAUCUGAGCUUGGUAAUAGUGUUGGUGAAUCAGUUCCAUCCUGUGAAUUAUGAACACAUGCAAAUAAUAUUUGUCACAAUAAUCUCGAUCUUGCAAAUUGUUACAUAAUAUUUUCACAAUAAAUAGGCAUCUCAUAUGAACUAUGCAAUUAAUAUCAUUUGUUACAUAUAGAAACUAUUUGAUUCAUUAAUUAAAAACUGAUUUAUAACAAAUAUAAGGAUAUUAUCUAGCCCAAUUAUGAAAGAAAUAUUCCGACCAGAAUCAUAACUAUUAUUUACUAGUAUGUGAAAAAAAUUAUACAGCAGUAUAGCUUUUCUCAAGAUUCCUCGUAAUGAAAAAUAGUAUGUUUAGUUCAUUUCACUUCCCCGCAAAAAAUGCCAUAAAAAAUACUAGUACAUUUAACAACCUUAAUGAUUUUAAUCCUUGAUGAGAAAUUAAUCCCAAAGAACUGCGAUAAGUAAUUAGAUUAUUUUUGUACUCCUAAAAUUAGAUUAUUUCUCAAGAAUGAAUAUACCUUCUCAUAGAAAGCAUAAAUAGUCUGAUCAGUGGAGAAUUGCUUGAGCUCCAAUACUUGGCUUUCUUGCCCCAGGCACAAGCUUGCAACUUCAACUUGUGGUGUGCACACUAUGAUUCGACUACCUUUCUUGUAGUUUGGGAAACAUACUUUAAUGUCAUCCCACUCUUCAAUUGUUGAUAGGUCAUUAAGCACAACAAGGUAACCCUUCUCGUUCACAUAUCCCUUCAACUCCUCAGCCAACUCUUGCCAUGUCUUGUCUUCCUCCAACAAACCUUCAAAUCCUACGGUGGAACGGAACUGCUUCACCAAGCUCUGGACAAAGUCUUUUGCAUUGAAAGGAUGCAUUACCCUGACCCAUGCUCUAUAUGCGAAUUUCCCUUUGAUAUCUGGAUUAUCGUAGACAGCUUUGAUGAUGGAUGUCUGCCCAAGAUCACUACUUGUUCCCCAUACAGCUAUUACUCUAAGAUCCUCGCCCUCUUGGUUGAUGAGUUGGACCAGAUCCACUUUUGAGUUGUCCUUCUUCCCAGCACGUCGUGCAUCAUUGAUACCAUAUAUUCCUGCAGCUGCAAUGUUAGGCUUCUCAUCAGCAGAAGUGACAGGCUUGGAGCUGGCACUAUUGAUAAGCUGGUAGCGCAGGUUCCUCUGGCUCACGUCCUCAACUCUGGCCCUCAACUCCUUCAUCUGCUUGGCAAUGCGGCGCCGCUCACGCAGGGUGCGAGGGAGAUGCCACCAUGAUUGGUUAUGGAGAUGGAUGGAAAAAUUUUGGAGGCAGUCCUCCGCAUCAUAGGCCACAUCACGGACUUGCUUCACCCAGGUCAUGAGUACCUCAUGGUCAUCUCGCUCACCAUGCGCGGCCCUCAGGAAAGCCUGCAUCAUCGAGAGCUCGUCCCUGAUGAAAGCAUGAUCACGCUGGAUGCCGAGCUGCAAAGCCACCUCCUCCGCGACUGCGGAUUUGGCGUAGCCAAGUGCUCCAUCCAGCACGGACUUGCCCACACUCAACGCGGUGGCCUCCAUGGCUCUCCUCUCGGGUGUGCUGUGUGGUGUGGAUGGGUGUGGAAAUGCUUGGUGCCAGUCCACAAGCCAACCAUUUGAUUAUAAAGGUGUAGCAGUUCCUCAAGUCGUACCAAAUUGAUUGCUGAAGCUGACAAGGCGGGGCCGGUAAACAACUGGGCGGGGGGCGGCAAGCUAAUCUGAACUAGGCGCGGGGCACUGGUGCAAAACAACUGCGGGUCUGUUUGGCAACCCGCUGUUAAAGUUUAACACCCGUCACAUCGAAUGUUUAGAUGCUAAUUAGGAAUAUUAAAUAUAGGCUAAUUACAAAACUAAUUGCACAGAUGGACUAUAAUUCGCGAGACGAAUCUAUUAAGCCUAAUUAGUCCAUGAUUUGACAAUGUGGUGCUACAGUAACCAUUUACUAAUGAUGGAUUAAUUAGGCUUAAUAGAUUCGUCUCGCGAAUUAACACAGGGUUCUGCAAUUAGUUUUAUAAUUAGCUCAUGUUUAGUUCUCCUAAUUAGCAUCCGAACAUCCGAUGUGAUACUGUUAAAGUUUAACACCUCGUAUCCAAACACCCCCUGCAUUGCGAAUCUCUGGUUUCUGAGUGACCAACGAGGCAACAAUAGUGCUCCAGUGUUGCGCCCUUGGAGACGGAUAUGACCAGGAGUUGCCCCUUGAGACAUCAGACACGUGCAGCAAUCGUGCUCAACUGCUCAGUGUGAACACGUAGGAUCGAAGCCCUCUGGUAUAAGCUAUCAGAGGGGUGAAUGACUGAAUAAUAAUAAAUUGCAGUGGAAAAUUUUUCACCCUAAAAAUAGAUUCCGGAUUGGAUCGUCCACUUAAUCGUGUGUUGCUCUUAGAAUUUAACUACUAUCGAUGUGAAACUUGACCAGAAAACAGUCUAUGAAAUUGUUGCUACGGCCAACCCAAUCCACCGCUUGCUGCCUGUCGCCGUGCCCAGAUGCAAACGGGAGGGAAAAGAAAAGGAGAGUCAACGGGAGAGAUGGGCAGAGGAUCACGGUAGUCGGCAGAAAUACCUUCGUGAAGAUAGAAGUUGAAGAAAGUUCUCUUAGGAAAGCCAGAAGGAUAUGAAUUAAAAUAAAAAUGUUACAUUUCAGUCCUUUAGGUAGGGGUUGUAUUCUCUCAGAUGACGUGCAUGAUGUAUUCUCACACAAUCAACAAAAUGGUAUACAAGAGAUUGUGUUUAUGCUUGAUCACCAUAAUUUACAGGUUCACGUAUGAAUUAAAUAAUUUACAGACGAUAUAUAGAUGAACCAUUGUACAAGCUGUCUAUUUUACUAUCUAUAUGUGAUGUGGUAAGUUUUUACAUACAGUAGCUGUCUUCGCUGUUGUACAUACUCUAAGAAGCUAUUCUCAUCUACCAGACUUCAUUAACUAUAGUUAUAGUGCUGCAACUGUACUAGAUCGAGACAAGUGCUGUAAACCCAUUGAUCCCUCAACGACUCUUUGCAUUGAGGGCAGGAAAGUACUCGACAAACCCAGGUUGCAGAUAAAUGCGAUGACCUCGCCUGGGGCAAAUAAUUGAGGUGGUUGGGGCAAAUAAUUGAGGUGGUUGCGCAGCAACGAUGUGCACUCAAGUACUAACGGGUUUGGAUAUAUAGUUCGGACUAAAAUUCAUAUCGCAUCGAAUAUUCGGAGGCUAAUGAGGAGGACUAAAUAUGAGCUAAUUAUAAAACUAAUUACACAAACGGAGGCUAAUUAGCGAGAUGAAUCUAUUAAGCCUAAUUAAUCCAUCGUUAGCACAUGUUUACUGUAGCAUCACAUUGUCAAAUCAUGGACUAAUUAGAUUUAAUAGAUUCGUCUCACAAAUUAACCUCCAUUUGUGCAAUUGGUUUUGUAAUUAGUCUAUAUUUAAUACUCCUAAUUAGUAUUUAAACAUUUAAUGUGACAGGAAUUUUAGGAGGUUAUAAAGAACCAAACACCCUGUAAGAUUGAUCAAGCAGGCAGGCUUUGACUGAAUAGUUUGUUCCGAUCCCGUGCCCUAAACUACGCAAACAAGGAGGGCAACGGCCCAGCGACUCACCAGGGAGAAAAGCACUUUAAGUAGUACGCUCUAGGUGGAGACGAAUAAACUGGGGGUGUUGUGUGCUUGAGACGGUGGUCAUGAAAAUUUUUACUCUGGUGUUUUAGUAAUAGACUACUUUCUUUUGACAUAAGCAUGAUGGAUGUCAUGAUUGUCUUCUUAAGUUCUUUCACUUUGUUUGUAAUAAUGGACAGAUAUAUGUAUCAAUCGAUAUGGCCACUACGCCAAAUUUGAUUUAUGUUGGCAUAGGCAAAUUAGCAUGCUGGCGGGCGUGAUUGGCACUCGUCAGCACAAAGCUUCCUUGGGCCGGCUGGGGAGCACCCCCUAGUGGCGGGCAACGCAAGCACCCGCCAGCAUAGAAGCACCCCAUCUGUGUUGGCGGUGGGUUUAUGUCGCCCGCCAGCAUAGAGGACACAUGCAAGCGAAAAGAAGACUCCAGAACACCAUAGAAGACUUGGGGACGAAGGGAGGCGCAAGAGGCCAAAAGGAAGGGCCAGGCCGAUCAGCCUAGACACCCUAAGGCCGAUCGUCCUGGGCCAUUCCCUCACCCCCUCGACUUCACAUUUCAACCACGGGUCCUCCAGACCAUAAAUACCCCGAUUCUCCAUAGCCACGAGCAAUCAAUUCGAAGUAUUCGAUGGUAAGCAGCAGAGAAGUAGAAGGAGCCUGAGGGACACCACUUCGGAGAGUGGAGGGCCGUGCAAUUGUCUAGGGAUUAGCGCAACUAAGCCCUAGCCGACAUGGUAAUCCUGCGAGGAAGAUCCACAUUGGAGUUCUGGAGCUAGGAUCAACAGAUCAAGGUAGGAUCCCGGUGAAGAUCUGGUGAUGUACAAUCAUUCAUGGUGAAGUAAUAGAUGUGUUUCAGUUCUUUAGCAAUCAAAGUGCCUCCUUCUAUGAUUUCAUGCUUUAUCGGGUUUGCUUGUUUUCAAUCUAUGAUCGAUGAUAGAUUGCAUAGGAUGUUCAUGUGGUCGUGGUGACUAGAUUUACAUGUCUGAUUUACCGAUGAGUAUGACAUGUUCUUUAUGUUCGUGCCCUUAAUUUGCCCAUGCUGAUAGGGGGUCAUGAUAGGGUCUGCUUCCGUGUAAGCUGGGGGUUUUUGGGAGUCUGAAAGGAGGUGUAGGCACAUCUGUCUUGCUUUGCUAUCUUGCUCAGAAUUACAACAUAUGCAUAGUCUAGGUUGCUCUAGAUUGGUUACCUUUUUUUUCAUAUCUGUUAUCUAUCUGUUCAUGCUGAUUACAUCUGAUCUACUCAUAAACAAGGUUCAUACUGAAAAUGCUAGUUGAAGUAGUUCUUGCAUUAUAAGUUCCACGGAUUGAUAAAUAUUUGGGAAUACUCUAAGGGAAGAGCUACAACUGAUCCGUGCGCUUGUGGUUCACCAACUUGGUGCGCUAACAGCCGCCAACAACUUGAGGGGAGUAAUUUGGACUUUUUCCUUGUUAGAAUGGCUAUGGUACAAUUACAAUCUUUUGGCUAUGCAAGCAUAGAAUUAUAGUUAUGUUGUUGUUAUAUUGUAAUGGAAGAUCCACACAAAUGGCAGAAUUAUACUGUAAUAGUACCUUUCUUGUGAAGAGGUCUUGUGCAUCCUUGCAGUCAAAAACUUUGAGCUUUCUUGUUUCUCUGAACAAUCUUGCACAUUAUAGUUCUACAAAAAUAGAAUUAUGUUUGCUUGGGUAAUUAAAAGAAACAAGAUAGAUUGAUUAGGCAAGAAUGGAAUUAUAACAUAUAGGGGAGGCUAGUAUCUAGCCCAAUUACAAAUGAGGUGUUUAGAUAGAACUAUAAUGUGCAAGAUUGUUAUUGGCCAAUAUAUAGAUUUUCUUUAACACUAAUAUUACUAAUAAUAGAUUCUAUUUGGAUGAUCGAUGUUAAUUCUCACUAGACACACUAGAAAAAUAGAUAGAUCUUAGAAAAUCUCACAAAGAGCGAAACAUUUUACCAUCAAUUUUGUAGACUCAAUCGUUGUUGAUAACAAUAAGCAUAGGAUGUACUUUACUUUAAAAAUGACCUACCUCUACCAUUACAAAGAUAAUAUCCAAAAUCUACACCUAAAAUCCCCAAAUAUGCCAUUAUGAAUAAGAAUUUAAUCAUCCCCUAAAUCUCCAUACAAGUGACCAAUCACUGCUAGUAUGAAAAUAAAGCGCAAGUAACCUCGCAAUUUGUAUCUAAAUUACCAAUACCCUCUGCCAUUAUGAAUAAGAAUUUAAAUAAGAUAAUAAAUUUGGGCCUAGAUUAUCCAUGGUUUCCAUUAUUAAAAAUAACUUGAAGUAAUGCUUAAAUCUACAUCUGAAUUACACAUUUCUAUGAUUAUAAAGUAUAAUAACCCAAAGCAUGCCCUAUAAAUGCUUCUAAAUUGAUCAUUUCUAUCAUUAUUAAUAUGUGAAAAAAACUAAAGUAUACACAUGCAUGAGAGAUUUGUCUUAACACCUUUGUGCUUCGGGCGGGAGAGCAAAUUGCUAUCUGUGAAAGCUAUUUCCCUAUUUCUUGUACCAUUGUUUUGCAUGGCAGCCUGCCAGCCAAAGCUUGAUCUAAACCCAAAACCAAACUAAACGAAAACAAACAGAAGAAGGUAAGAACUCAAAACAAUUUUACCCCUAACAGUAAAUGAUAAAAUCAGAUUUCCUCCCUUCACUACAGAAAAAUCAAACCUUUUAUCCGUGGAACGGAAUGAGAUCUUUCAUCGAUGGAUGCGUGGCGUCUUCGGGCCAGCAGACCCAGCCCACAUACACGUGGAGAGAGUUGGUCACUUGGGUUAUUGUCGGAUUUCGGUCAGGUGCUUUCAGGGGGUGUUUGGAUAACAGGUGCUAAACUUUAGCAGUGUCACAUCGGAUGUUCGGAUGUUAAUUAGGAGGCCUAAACAUGAGCUAAUUAUAAAACUAAUUGCAAAACGUUGUGCUAAUUCGCAAGACGAAUCUAUUAAGCCUAAUUAAUCCAACAUUAGCAAAUGGUUACUGUAGCACUACAUUGUCAAAUCAUGGACUAAUUAGGCUUAAUAGAUUCGUCUCGUGAAUUAGACUCCAUCUGUGCAAUUAGUUUUGUAAUUAGCCUAUGUUUAAUACUCCUAAUUAGCAUCCAAAUAUCCGAUGUGACAUGUGCUAAACUUUAGCACGGGGUAUCCAAACACCCCCUCAGCAUGGUACAACAAGCGCAAGAAACAGAGCAAUCCUGAGCAGCGCAACCAGCACAGCACAGGCAACCGCUGCUCUGCUGCAUCCUGUUCGCUCGCGGUGUUGUUUUGUCCAUUGUUGAAGCAACGAGGAAUAAAAUGGAAUUGUUGGUGCCUCGCUGGUUCUCUACUACUGGUGGUGGUGGUCAUUUGUUCAGGGCUGAUUUCCCUGUAACCUGAAGGUGAUGACAUGAUACAGUUUCUAAGAAAAAUAGUUACCAAGUAGUAAUGUAUAAUAGUGAUAGUCUGUCUUCUGAGAGAGGAAUGACUAGAAGCAACAAAUCGUAAGUGUCCUUUGUGGUGUAACCACAUUUCAGAUGAGGGAAAACAAAAUAGAGGUCAGGAAACUUCCAAUGCCAUCAUGCUCAUACCGAGACAAUAGUAUUUGGUACAGUUGUUGGUUGUUUAAUAGAGACAUGAACCUAAGCCGAUGCUCUAGAAACCGCACUCCGCCGCUGCAACCAACUUCAACGUUACAAUGCCAAGCAGCGGAACAAUCGUGGAUUACCUUACUGACAAGGCACAGCCAUGACCAGCCGCAGGUUUGCUUCGUCAUGCCUCUGCUAACUCGCCCCGCUGUGUGUUUCUGCUCCCAACCAGUACAGCGCAUUUGCUCAGGAUCUCUCCCUGAGGCUGGAGGUCACGUCAGUUACCUCUUCAAAACGGGUGCAUUUGGAUUCUCCAGAAGCUGGGCCCGCACGUCUUCCACAAAAUCCUUCUUGUAUUCAUCGUUGUCCUAGGCAUUAAAAUUUGGAAAUUAAUAAAAUUUGCUAGACUUUUCUAGAAUUUAUUUGAGCUUGUUUAGGGAUUUAAGGAGUUUCUAAGAUUUUAUUUAAUUUCCUAGGCAUUCAAAUAUUUUUCAAAAAUUUAAUUAAUGAACCAUAGGAGUUAAUUGUUGCAUUCAUGCUGGUGCAUUCAUUUUUGUUGUUUGAAUUCAAAUUUGUAUUUGAAUUCAUGUUUGAAUCUCUUUUCAAACAAUUUCCUUUUCUUUCUCUUUUCGGCCCACUUCCUUCUUUCGGCCUAGCUCGCAGCAGCAGCGCAGUAGUGGCCCGCUUCCGUGCCAGCCUCCGCCACCUCCCGAUGACAGGCGGGGCCUGCUCGUAAUCGCCCUCCUCGCACCCGCGUCCGCACCCAACUCGAACUAGAGUCCAAGCCGGACCACGCCGUGGCGCGCACGCCAAGGCCACCCCCAGAGCUUUAUAAACCACGCCGUCGCAACCCUAGCCGCCGCCUGAGCUCGAACCCGCUACCAUUGUUUUCUACCGCCUUCUCUUUCCCGUCGAUGAGAUCAAAGCCCGGAGCACCGCGAGGAGGUCAGGAAGCCGCCUGUGUAGAUCCCGUGCGCUCUCGUGCCCUCUUUCAUGCGCACCAGCUCGCUGGAGUUACCACCACCACGCCGAGCCGUUUCGCCGCGUUGUCUCGUGCCGUCGUCACCUCGGCCGGCGCGGGAUCCACCUAGAUCAGUUCGUCGCGCCGCUAGCUUCGUCCCGAGCUAGUCCCCGUCGAAGAUCGUGGACUGCCGCUCGAGCUAUGCUCGUUUCCAGCGAGGUCCUCUGCAGCGCCGCUGCUCGUCGCCGCUUUCUCUUGGUCGACCGCAGCCAUUCGAUCGAGGAUCGACGACUCAGAUCUGAUUUGACCCGAGUCAAUACCGGUCAACUGAGUUGCGCACUGCUUUUUCAAAAGGCCCUUGCUGUUUUCCCUUUUCGCACCCGAGAUCCAUCCAGUUCAAAAGUAUUUCAAUCUAAGUCCUUUUCUUUUGUUUUAGCCCCUGCCCUUUUAUAAAAUUCCACUAGCCAUCCUGUUUGGUCCUUUUACGUGUUAGACCUUCUAUUUAUAUGUAUAAUUAGGUUUUAGCCCUUGGUUUCUUUAAGUUUAGCCAUUUGAAGUUUAGUUUUCUCACAGUUAAGUCCCUGAACCUUGUUUAGCUCAUAUCUUUAGCGUUUUAAAUCCGUUUUAAGCGAUUCUUGCACCUAUGAGUUCGUGUUGAUGCAUAGAUUAAUUUUGUGGUCUUGUUUUGCUCUGUUGCUAUUGCUUGAUGUAAUAUUUUCUUAUUUAGUCCUUUGUUUACUUGUAUGUACUUGUUUGGUGUGCAUAGAAGGAUCGCAGUUCGAGGGAUUCGAAGAGCAAGGAUUUGAAGACUUUGAGUGGUAAGAGUAAGUUUAGGAAGGCAAGUCGUGCCCUUGAUCACAAUUUGAUCCUAUGCAAUUUUUAAUUGUAUGUUCAACACACGUAUGCUAUGCACUUUAAGUCUAUAAAACAUGAUGGAUCUGGGAAAACCAGACUUCCUCCCUUCACUACACAAAAAUCGGACCUUUUAUCUGUGGAACGGAAUGAGAUCUUUCAUCGAUGGAUGCGUGGCGUCUCUGGCGCGCGCGACCGGGGUUGCGGCUUCCAGAAACGCAAGCGAUGAUACACGUGGAGCGAGUUGGUCACUUGGGUUAUUGUCGGAUUUCGGUCAGGUGCUUUCAGCAUGGUACAACAAGACCGCAAGAAGCAGAGCAAUCCUGAGCAGCGCAACUAGCCACUGCAGCGAACUUCAACGGUACAAUGCCAAGCAGCGGAGCAAUCGUGGAUUACUUUACCGACAAGGCACAGCCAUGACCAGCCGCAGCUCUACUUCGUCAUGCCUCUGCUAAAUCGCUGACAAGGCUGGAGGUCUCGUCAGUUACCUCUUCAAAACGGGUGCUUUUGGAUUCUCCAGAAGCUGGGCCGGCACGUCUUCCACAAAAUCUGAUGAGGACAUCACAUGCUUGGAUACAACCAUAUUGGCAUCUUUUGACUCCGAGGUGAAACAAUUCUUUAUCAUAAUUAUAUGUGACACAUUUGAUGAAUUGAUGCUGCACCAUGAUGUGUUUUCGUUGUCAAUUUCAGAAAUACGUACAUGGAUCAAAAAUAGUGUUAAACACACAUGGAAGGCAUGGAGGACCAAAGAAGUAGAUUGGGGGCCAAGUCCAAGUAUUCCUAACGUCCUCCACCAGGCCACCACGUCACUUUUGGCCCAAGGAAAGAAAGAGAUCCAAUCCAACACGUUUUGGUGCUGGAUUCGGACUACAGUUCUGGCCCAACUUGCAACGACCGCCACGACCUCAUCCGGACUCCGUUUUGGGCGUUCAAGUACUCCUUGGAAUCCUUAUGAAGUCUAUUUUCAUAUGGAUCUGGACUCAUGUCCAUAUCUAUUCUGAGGAGGCCGCAAUCAUCGAAAUACUACCGAGAGGUUUUCUGUCCACAGGUGCUGCGUCGCCCUAUUUUGGCCCGAUGGGCCGUGUAUCAAGUUGGGUCCAUUAGGGACGUGUCCUAGGGUUGGAGCACGACCCCAACACCCCCCUGGUCGUCCUCCUAGGUAUUAAUAAGGAUUAGAGCCGCCACGAACAGAUUGGGUUUUGUUUUGAUGUAAGUUUAGCCAUUGCUACUUCCUUGUAGACGCGUGUGUCGACUAGACCAUCCGUUCUACUCGAUUCAGAACCCCAACUUUGUGAGUUCAGAUUGGUUUUUCAUCUCCAUAUUUGCAAUUGAGUUGCUUGUUCUACUUGUUCUUGCUUGUUCUUCGAUUGCUUGCAGGACGAGUGCCCUAGUGGCCGGGUGACGCGCUCCACAAGAUCGCGGCAGCCAUUGGAGGUGGUGUAUCGGUUGCUAAGGCGCAGCUUGGAAGGCUGUAGUCGGGCCGUGAACGUCGUCUCCAUCGACCAAUCGAGUUAUCCCACGCCUCUCAUCGAAAGAUCGGGAAUCAACCCGCUAAUUAGCAUAAUAUUCAGGAAUGAAUGCAUCUCUAAAAAGAAAUUUGAAGUCUUCCCAAGAUUCUAGAACUUUGUUGUGCCUACAAAUGCGUUUCCAUUCAAGCAAAGCAUAUUCAGUCAAAACAUUAGAGGCAAUAUAAAUCUUUUGUUUCUCGGACAGGUCAUGCUCAUCAAAUUCAUUAUCUACUUUUAUCUCCCAAUCAAUGUAAGCUUUAGGAUCAAACUUACCAUCAUAUAACGGCAAGUGAUGAAUAACACUCUGAAUAUGAGAGUCUAGUUUCAUCAGCUCCAAAAUCUCCGUAUCACCUGCCAUGGUUAGUAGGAAACCAGAAAUACAAAAAUAAUAUGUAUCCUCCUGUCAACUACUAUGAUAUGUUGGUUGUAAUUCUCUCAAACUCAACUUGUAAAAACAAGCCCUUACAAGUUCUUACCAAGCCAAACAGGAGGUGACGGCAACCAACAAGUCUACAACCGUGGAGUGAAGUGUAUCGGUGCCGCAGCAACAAAAAAACCUGUCAAGCUGUAGUCGAAUAUGUGGAGCUGUAGGUGGGCUUAAGCAAGGAAAUAUACUAGCACCACGUUAGUCACAAAAGCAAGUUGAGUAAUCAUUCAACGGUGGUACUGUGCUGGUCCUAGGCUAAACCAUGCUAGAGACGUGAGCCUAGGCACAAAGGUAGUCACUGAAAAGAGCAACUAGCACAGCACAAAGAAAACAACAGAUUCAGCCCCUUCUUUCUUCUCCUUGUCUUGUCCUUUUUUUUUUCUUCUUCUUCUUUUUUUUUCUUUCUCUUGUUUUUUUUGUUUUUUUUUUUUGCAGAGGCCUAAAUCUUUUAUUUGGUACUAUGACAACCCAAACAAUAAGGCUAUUGCACACAGCCCCUUCAAUUUUAAAUUUAACAACUCUGUUAAUACAGUAGAUGNNNNNNNNNNNNNNNNNNNNNNNNNNNNNNNNNNNNNNNNNNNNNNNNNNNNNNNNNNNNNNNNNNNNNNNNNNNNNNNNNNNNNNNNNNNNNNNNNNNNUCAGAUCCGUUGGAAAGAAGACAACUUCAAGUUUCCAGAUUGUAUUUAAACUCCCAAAUUGGACAUCAUAUGAAACCGUGGUGGUAGAAAUGAAGCAAUGAUGUAUAUGGUGAUGGUGGAUCUCGUGGUGACCAAAACGUGAUAGAACUCAAAACUCUAAAGGAAUAGACACUAAGACCAGCAACUUGACGCAACCGAUGCAACCAAAAACUCAACAAGCCCUAACUAAGCAAUGCUAGCAAAGGCUCAAAGGGUUUAUAGGAUUGUAGGUAAACUAAUCUACUAUCUUUUUUGUGCUUUUCUGGACUAUAGGUAAUUAAAAUCAGCAAGGAACUGGAAGUCUCUCACCGAUAAACCUUGCUCUGAUUACCAACUGAAUCAUUGCUGCUUAGUUAGGGCUUGUUGAAUUGGAUCUCUUUCUUUCCUUGGGCCAAAAGUGACGUGGUGGCCUGGUGGAGGACGUUAGGAAUACUUGGACUUGGCCCCCAAUCUACUUCUUUGGUCCUCCAUGCCUUCCAUUUGUGUUUAACACUAUUUUUGAUCCAUGUACGUAUUUCUGAAAUUGACAACGAAAACACAUCAUGGUGCAGCAUCAAUUCAUCAAAUGUGUCACAUAUAAUUAUGAUAAAGAAUUGUUUCACCUCGGAGUCAAAAGAUGCCAAUAUGGUUGUAUCCAAGCAUGUGAUGUCCUCAUCAAAAUCCUCUCUGUAUUCAUCAUUGUCUAGCUCCUGGAUGGUGGGGUUCAACCAAUUUGCUUGUACCAUAUAGUUCAUUCCUAUUAUUUAAAUUAACUAGGAUGACUUCAUCAUGGAUGAGUUGGUACAAUUCACCCAACCAAACAAAAGGAUCAUUAUUAUUUUGAACAAUUUCAUACAUGAACCAAAUGAUACAAGCAACCAAACACAACCUAUAUUAACCAGACGUGAUGUGCCUUCCAAUAUGCUCUAGGUGAUGAUUAUACUAACCUGAUGUGUCUUCCAAGUCCAGCACAUGCAAGAACCUCAUCUUGUUAGAAAUGAAAAAGGACCUGCAUUUCCCAAACAUUGUUAACAAGCGUGUAGUACACGGGACAGAUCCACUUUGUUCUCAAACUCACUCUUACCACCCACCGCAGCACAUGCCAUGUCUCUGGACUGCAGAGACUUGAGAGAAAAAAAACAGAGCGCAUUACCGCAUCCUAUGUCUGUACCUUGAUCUCGGACUGUUUCCCCGUGGCCCCGAAACGAAGCAAGACGCGGCAUGCAUGCCCGGGUGCUUGGCGGCUGCGCGCACGGUCUCGCUCUCAGCAACUUGGCUUGUCCGUUAGCUUCCAGCAAGCGGCCAAAUGGGUCCCUACUUGAAUAGGGCCUUGCUCUGGAGCUGCUCUCAUGGUGAAAUGUGCAGCACCAAUAGCCCAACACAGAAAUUCCUCCUCUGCACACUCAAAAGCUCCCGCUGUUCGCGUAGUGCCGUGGUGGCCUUGGGAAGGGAAUCGAAAUGGGGAACCAAAACACAGUGCUGAUACGUAUCACGUAAAUAAAACUCUUUAUUGCAUUAAAAAAACACUCUCUUCUUAAUACAAAGAUACGCAGCUCUCCCGCGUAUUCUAGAAAAAAUUAAAAAAAACACAGUGCUGAAACUGAAUCGGGCUGGAACAACAACGAGGCAAGCUGAACCAUGCGUGGUUCUGUAUUUUCACAUGCAUAUUGUUCCAUAGCUCUGGCGCAAUGUGGUCAUUCUCUCUGGUUUUAUGGGAAUAAGCAAUGCUUAUGCAGGGGUUGCUGGCCUGUGGCUGAUCGCCGUGGAGCCGCUGCCCCUGGUGCCAGUGGACAAGCUAAAAUACUACUCCAGCGAAGCACGAAAAAUUGUGUGGCCUGCAAUGGAGUGCUGUGCAUUUCCUCUGUUAGUAAUGGCAGGGACGCAAGGGAGCUGCAACAUCACUUGCAAAAAAAAAUGAUGGCAAACCAACUCAAGCAUACACAACCAGCAACCCUGCAGACCAUUGUGGUGAACGUUCAUACAAAUGACCUGUACAGUUAUUCAUAGUCCACACCAGUCUUUGUAGCCCAAUUACUGAACUGAUGAACAUUAUUUCACUUCUAUCAGGCGAUGCAUGAUGGAGCAGCACACCAGUUAUUCUUAUUUGGCACAACCACAUAAGCAAAAAAAGGAAUACGUACGUAUAGACGAACAAAACAAAAAAUAGAUGAUUCAGAGACGCCGCACUAGACCCACAGGAUACUGACACGAUCGACCUUAGCUGCAUGCGUCAAAAAGAAAUACAUCAACAGUAGGACUGGAGAUUAAUUUUACACACACAUCAAUUGUUCAGAUGCACAAAGAGGGUAACAGGGAAGCAGCAAGAGCAAUGACCUGGCACGACGAUCGGCUGACUCUGCAGCACCUCACCACCUCUUCAAAGCGGGUCCAUUUGGAUUGGCACCAAGCUGGCCCUGCAGGUCUUCCAUGAAAGCGUGCUCAUAAGUUUUGCUGUCCAGCAUAAAUUCCUUGAGGCUCCGGAGCAAUGGUAGCCCGGAAAACAUCCCUGUGUUGGUUUCUUCAAGCUUGCCACGAAAAUCCAGCCGCUCAAGCUGAAGCAUUGCCCCUUCUUCAAACUCCACCGAUUUCAGGCCAUCUAUGUCAUUUAGCUCCAGCACUAUCAGACUCGGGAAUGCCUCCGGAUGGAAGGUGAAACGGAGGUCGUCAACCUGGAACGACUUCGCCCACAGACGUAAGCUGACCAGGUUCGGUAGCUUCCCAAGAACUUGGAGUGCAGGUUCGUGCUCCAGUAUUCUAGAGCUCCUUAGAACCAACUUCACAAGAUUCGGGAGCCCCUGGACCCAUCCUGGCAAUUUGACCAAAUUACCGUAUAUCUUGAGGCUCUGGAGUGUUUUUGGAGCGGAGGCCAAGCCCUCCAAACAGCCAUGCAAACCUGGCAUCCCCCAUGCCUGCACUAGCAAAGAUUCCAGACAGCUGAGAUUGGCAACGACUGAACAGAACUCCUGGCUGUUUUCCUUGUUGAUGCCAGUCACAGCUAACUUGCGCAACUGGGUCAGUCCUUUUAGGUCCCGUAGAAUUGCUUUGUCCCAUGCGAGAUUCACAAGACCCAAUGUGCGCAGGGAUUUUAGUUUCCCUAUCCCUCUUGGCAUCCAAGUUGGACCUUCCCUUGCCAUCAGAAGAGGGAACCACCAGCAGCAACACUGAGUGCAUACAUCACACCUAUUCAUGUCACCAUCCACACCCAUAACCUCUUUAACAAGUUGAGGUGCGCAACAUACCAUGCAAAAUCCUAGCAACCAACCCAUACAAAAGCAUGGCCUGUUAUUCACUACUUUUGGCAGUUCUUCAAACGUUAAUGAAUCAUCAUCCUUUCCAACAGCCCCAGCACGAAGAUAUUGUAGCUUCUUGAGCUUGGUGAUGGUCUUGGGCAGCUUUAAAAUCGCUGUCUCUGAAAUAUCUAGUGUUUCUAGUUGCUUUAGAUUACCCAACGAAUCUGAUAGGUGAAAAAUAGAAUCACAUCCUCUUAGAGAAAGAUAUCUGAGGUGAAGAAGCCUCCCAAUAUGCUCUAGGUGAUGACUAACCAGACCUGACGUGCCUUCCAAGUCCAGCACACGCAAGAACCUCAUCUUGUCAGAAAUGAAAAAGGACCUCCACUUCCCAAACACUGUUAACGAGCGUAUGCGGGACAGAUCCACUUUGUUCUCAAACUCACUCUUAUCUGCUUCCCAGUUGGUGCUUAUGACAAGGUGACGAACUGUGCCCUGGGUGUUUGAGCUGCAACCUUCCUCCAUUCUAAAAACAAGAUUUUCUUCUGUUGACUUUGAGAUGCUAAUCUCACGCAUGAGAUCAUGGACUUGGCAAGAGUCAAUUCCUUUUCUACUAUUAACUGAUAGCUGAGAAGGUAGGAUCAUGCUCCUCUCUAUUAGUUCCAUGAAGUAGUUGUCAGCUACUUCUUCUGGGGACUUAUCUCGAAUCUCCCUUGAGUAACCUUCUGCACUCCACCGUCGUAUCAAACGUCUUCGACUAACCUUGUGAUCUUCAGGGAAGAUGGAUGUAUAUAGGAAACAAGACUUAAGAUGAUAUGGUAGACCAUCAUAACUUUUACCAAGAAUUGUUUUUAUGGCCCCAAGCUCCGGGUUCAUUUCCAAUUCAGCACUAAUAUGCUCAUUUAAUUUCCUCCACUCUACCGCUACUUUUGGUUGCUUUGCCAAGAAGCCUCCGAUGGUGACUAUUGCAAGGGGGAGUCCAUUGCACUUCUUCAAGAUCAUUUUUGCUUCUUUGAUCAAUUCAGGAUGCUUAUCCAAAUCUUUGGCCUCCUUAAACACCUGAAAUCAGUAGUGCUUAUUAUGUUCUUUGAGAUUGAAAAUACGUACGAAUGGUCUAUGUAGUUUACUUAUUUAUUAGAAUGACUAUUGCACAAUUAUUAGUCUCAUGCCUAUUGAAGAAUAGAACUAUUAGUUAUGAUGUCCUUAUAUUGUAAUGAAAGAUAACACAAAUGGCGGCAGGAUUAUAUUGUAAUAUAGUAUACCUUUCUUGUGAAGAGGUCUUGUGCAUCCUUGCAGUCAAGAACUUUGAGCUUGUAUAUGUUUUCUUGUUUCUCUGAACAAUGUUUUGCUAUACUCUCUUCCCUUGUGGUCACUAUAAUCCGGCAUGAACUAUCUAAUUUAGGGAAGCUUCCAAAUAUAUUAUCCCAUUCUGCUAUUGAUGAAAGAUCAUCAAGAACAAUCAAGCACUUCUUCCCUUCAAGAAGCCUAGCUAACUCUUUUAUUAAUGCUUCAACUCCCAUCAUUACUGGGGCUGUGUUUCUUGCACCAUGUGCAAAAAUCUAUUGCUCCUUUCUUUUCAGAAGAUUGUACAUUUAGUUGCAUAAUUAAGCUCUUCAGAAACUCCUUACGAAUGAAAGGGCGCAUCACUGUAACACAAGCAUGCUUCUCAAACACACCAACAAGCUUUUGACUUUCAUAAACAUCUUUGAUCAGAGUAGUUUUCCCAAUACCACCCAUUCCCCAUACUGAGAUCACCGCAUGCUCUUGAUUAGAUCGAUUUGAAAUGAGGUUGAUGAUAUCAGUUUUUUCUUUUUGCCGACCGAUAAGUUGUGAUUCCUCCAAAGCACUUGCCAUAGUUUUGAUGCGAGUAAGGCUUUUUGUGAAUACCUUUAUCUCAUUGCCACCUUGAGAUUGAUGUCCCAGUGCUACAUUAGUACUUAUUGAUUUAUCUGAGCUGGACACUACCACUGGUAUUUUUAUUUGAUCUUGACAAUCCUAUGCAGAAGUAAACUUUAGUUAUCAGAAUUUUAAAUUUGUCGAUGUUUAAACAAUAUUUUGACUCAAAAGGUAAAUUCUAGCAUAAAUGCAUAUAAAUUUAUGAUGGCCAUAGAUAGAUUGCUUGGGUAAUUAAAAGAAACAAGAUAGAUUGAUUAGGCAAGAAUGAAAUUAUAACAUAUAGGGGAGGCUAGUAUCUAGCCCUAUUACAAAUGAGGUGUUUAGAUAGAACUAUAAUGUGUAAGAUUGUUAUUGGCCAAUAUAUAGAUUUUAUUUAACACUAAUAUUACUAAUAAUAGAUUCUAUUUGGAUGAUCGAUGUUAAAUCUCAAUAAACACGCUAGAAAAAUAGAUAGAUCUUAGAAAAUCUCACAAAGAGCGAAACAUUCUACCAUCAAUUUUGUAGACUCAAUCCUUGUUGAUAACAAUAAGCAUAGGAUGUAAUUUACUUUAAAAAUGACCUACCUCUACCAUUACAAAGAUAAUAUCCAAAAUCUACACCUAAAAUCCCCACAUAUGCCAUUAUGAAUAAGAAUUUAUUCGUCCUCUAAAUCUCCAUACAAGUGACCAAUCACUGCUACUAUGAAAAUAAAGCGUAAGUAACCUCACAAUUUGUAUCUAAAUUACCAAUACCCUCUACCAUUAUGAAUAAGAAUUUAAAUAAGAUAAUAAAUUUGUGGCUAGAUUAUCCACUGUUUCCAUUAUUAAAAAUGACUUAAAGUAAUGCUUAAAUCUACAUAUGAAUUACACAUUUCUAUGAUUAUAAAGUAUAAUAAUCCAAAGCAUGCCCUAUAAAUUCUUCUAAAUUGAUCAUUUGUAUCAUUAUUAAUAUGUGAAAAAACUAAAGUAUACACAUCCAUGAUGUGUAUCAUAUCACCAUAGAAACCAAGUAGCAAGCAUGCAGGGAUCAAUAGAUGCAUUGAUUUACAUGGUUUGGCAAUAACAAAAGUUAUUUUCUUAAUGAUUCAUAUUACAAUGGCAGUCCACAUUAAAUUAUAUUACAAUACUACUAAAUGACAAGAAUUAUUUAAGUUGCUACUCUAGAUAAAUGUAUUACAUUUUGACUGACAACAUUAUAACAUCUACAAUGAUAGUUACAUUAUGACCACUCUAAUUAUUUACUCCCUCAAGCUAUUCUUUUGAUCUAUUUUUGUAACAUAAGUUAUAAUGUCAUGUGUCGUCCCAAUUAAUAUGAACUUAAAACUCAACCGGUACAUGGAAAAACAAAAAUAAAAUAUCUCAUUAGGGGUAGCAUGGACCAAUUGAAUUAGUUUGGAUCAGUUGUUCAAGUGACUAAGCGGACAUAGCGGAUUGCUUAGGGUAGUAAAAUAGACUUCUUCAUUUAGUAAGGUCUUUCUAUAGAGAAAUUUUUACACCUCUAGACAUGCUAGUUGAGAAUCUUGUUUAUUCCUUCCACUUCUAACAGUUAUGCUUCUUAUGCUAGCAUGUAUAGGAGCAUGUGUACUUGUUGAUGGACUCGCUCUUAUUGACGAAAAUUGAUACAUUCUUUCCUGUGCCUAUGAAUAUGGUAAAAGAAUCCCCACAGAACAUCGACCCCCACGGCUGAUCGGAACUGCUUCACUAAGCUUUGGAUGAAGUCGAUCAUUCGGAUUGAACGGAUGCGAGAUCCUUACCCAUGCCCGGCACGAAAACUUCUUUUUGAUAUCUGGAUUCUCGUAGGCCGCGUUGAUGAUGGAUGUCUGCCCAAGAUCACCACUGGUUCCCCACACUGCGAUCACUCUAAGAUCCUCGCCCGGUGUGUUGAUCAGGUGGACCAGGUCCACUUUUGAGUUGUCAUUCUUCGCAGCACGCCGUGCAUCAUCGAUGCCGAAUAUCGUCGCAGCUGUAAUGCUUGACUGCUCAGCAGAAGUGACCGGCUUGGAGCCAGCGCUCUUGAUGAGCUGGUAGCGCAGGUUCCUCUGGCUCACGUCCUCAACUCUGGCCCUCAGCUCCUUCAUCUGCUUGGCGAUGCGGCACCGCUCUUGCCACGUGCGAGGAAGGUGCCACCAAGAUGGCUUGUGGAGAUGAACAGAGAAAUCCUGGAGGCAGUCCUCCGCAUCGUACGCCACGUCACGCACUUGUUUCACCCAGGUCAUGAGCACCUCAUGGUUGUCUCGCUCGUCGUGCGUGGCCCUCAUAAAGGCUUGCAUCAUCGCGAGCUCGUCUCUGAUGAAAGCAUGAUCGCGCUGGAUGCCGAGCUGCAAGGCUACCUCCUCUGCGACAGCGGAUUUGGCGUAGGCCCUGUUUGGAGUCGCUUAUUUCCCGCUUAUUGGUGGAAAUAAGCGAUAAACCCACCUAAACGCCUUGCUUAUUCCCCGCUUGUCACGUAAGCCGCUUAUUGGAGAAUCUGAAAUACAACUAGCACUCAGCUUAUCUCCUACGCGGGUCAGACCACGCUUCUGGGGCAAGCGGAGAAAUUUUCCCCCGGGUACCCUCGGGCAACGGCCUCCAGGCGACCACCGCCGCUCCUCCCGCCGCCGCCGCUCCAGAUCCCGCCGCCGCCGCUCCAGAUCCCGUCGCCGCCCCCCUGCAGAUCCCGGCGCCGCCCCUGGGGUCGGCCGGGCCGCUUCCCUACCUCCGGCGGCCGCCCCUGCCAGGCUCCCGCCGCGGGCCGCUAGCCGCCGGACGCCCGCGCCGCCGGACGCCUGGGCGCCGCCCCCGCCGGCCCCGGCGCCGGACGCCCCCGCCGCGGGCCGCUGGGCGCCGCCCCCGCCGCCGGAAGCCCCCUCCGCCCCCGCCUGGGCGCCACCUCCGCCGGUCGACGCCCCAUCCCCCUGGAUCCGGCUCCACCGCCGAAGUCUCCUGCUGCCUGGACACCGCCCCGCCGCCGGACGCCCCCGCCGGAGUCUCCUGCUGCCUGCGCCGGACGCCCCCGCCGCCUGGCCGCCGCCUGGCCGCCGCCCCGCCGCCGGACACCCCUGAAGUAAGUUUCUGGUUCCCCAGUCCAACAGGCUUUUUAACCAUCUCUGAAAUAUGCAUUGAAGCAAAUAGCAAAUAUACAUAUUGACAUGGCUCAACUACAGAAGCAAAAAAGUUAUAGGGCAUUCUUUACGUUAUGUACCUUAACGUCACCAAAAGCGGUGAUUCACUUGAGUAUCAGAAACUAUUCGAAGAGCACAUCCGGCCAGCGCUGAAGGACAUAGUCUGGGCCUGGCAUGGAGAUGAUCAGCAGCAAAAGCAGGAGUAGCUUUGGAUGCCUCAGUUUGUGGUCUGAAAUUCCGUUUGAUUUUUCAGCUCAGAUUUUAUUUUCAUGUGUUCAUUGUUAGCAACUACAUUCGUUUUUGUAUUGGAAGAACACCUGUUGAGUUGUGUUGAUGUGAACCAUUAGGCUGUAUUUCGUCGAAUAAUAAUUGUUGAGAGGCUGAGUUCUUGAGUUUUAUUCUGAAACUCUUUCUGUUCUGUAAUUGCUGUCCCCGUCGAUAAUGAUAUACAACACCUCUGGUGCUUGAAAAAAGGCUAAGAUUUCCAGUACUAAGAUAAUAGCUUCUUUUGGUGAAACAUCGUGCCUAGAGCAUGAAUUCUCUGCGCACAUAUGACAUUUGCAAAAAAAUAUGCAUCUCAUCACCUGCAUAUGGAAUCAAUUAAUUUUUUUUAGCCACUCCAGCAACCGAAUGCCAAUGUGAUUCUCUAUGGCAUCAAGAAUGAUCUAUAUGUUCUUUAUUAGUUUAAUUCUCCAAUAGAGAGUGCACCAACACAUGAUGCGUUUACUGUUCUAUCUCCAUAUAAAUCUUUUAUCGUGUCACUAUAUAUUGUGAGGUGGCACAUUAGUCCAGGCAAACCGAAGUUGAUAGACAUCAGGAAUGUAGGUAUUAUUUAUCCAAAAUCCAUACCACAGGAACUGGUGGUUACCAGUGUAACAAACUAGUCAGGGAGCAGUGCACUUCUAACUUUGGUACAGUGGGAAGGCGCGUAGAAAUAAGACAGUGGCAAAAACAAUCUUUUUCAUUAAUUCUUUUUUCAUUUUGCAUUGGAGUCUCUUUGGACCUAUAUGAUGAUGGAGUAGCUCAUAACAAUUUUAUGUAUGCGUGUAGUUGCUGCGAAGGAUCUGGACAGCUGUAGCUGUUACGACUGCAAGGCCGCCAACAAAUAGCAAGGUAAAAUUUGUGUCACUUCUUGAUGGAUUGCUAAAAUGACAGAUUGUGGUUUGUAUGAUCAGUGAACAAGCUCGUAGAUUUGUAUUUAAUUCUACAAUACUGUAAUCAAAUUUUAGAUGGAAAAGUCGUCAAAGAUUGUGGCAAAAUGGGAUUCAUUUGCCGCGAAAGCUUUCAAUGACAUUUGUGUGGAAGAAGUACUUGCUUUCAAUCGACCGCAGCAAUGUUUGAAUGCGGUGGGAUAUGCAAACCUUAUUAGAAAGUUUUAUGAGCGUACCAAGAGGCCAUACGGUGAGAGUCAAAUGAAGAAUAGGUGGGAUAUAUUGAAUCUAUCAUGAGAUUAGCUGUUGACAUUGUGAGGCCUAAGGAUCUGCAAUUUUCUACUAUUCAUCCUAAACUACAAGAAGCAAGGUUUUGGCCUCAUUUCAAAGAUUGCAUAGGAGCAAUUGAUGGUACCCAUAUACCCGUAACUGUGCCAUUAGCUGAUCAACCGAAAUACAUUGGUCGGCAUGGGUAUCCUUCACAAAACGUCAUGGCGGUUUGUGACUUUGAUAUGCGGUUCACAUUUGCUGUCACUGGUUGGCCUAGUUCUGUCCAUGAUACUCGUGUAUUAUUGGACACGCUUGUCACAUACAAGGAUCAAUUUCCACAUCCUCCCGAUGGUAAGGACGAGUUAUGUUGCAAUUUAUUUUUCAGGGAAUAUUUGCUCAUUGUGAUAUAACAUGUAAAUAUAAAAUGCAGGUAAGUACUAUCUUGUUGACUCUGGAUAUCCUAAUAGAAAAGGAUUUCUUGCACCCUACAAGGGACAGAGGUAUCAUGUUUCCGAAUGGCAGCAUGGUCAGCAUCCGGUAGGAUUGAAAGAAGUGUUUAAUCAUGCACAUUCAUCCCUUAGAAAUGUGAUUGAGCGAUCAUUUGGAGUUCUAAAGAUGAAGUGGCGCAUUCUCUUGAAUUUGCCCAGUUAUCCGAUUAACAAGCAGUCGAAAAUUAUAGUUGCUUGUAUGGCCCUUCACAAUUUCAUCAGAGAUAGUGCCGUACAUGACGUGCAUUUUGAAGAGGAUUUUCAGGAAGAUGAUGGUAAUUCAACCCAACCUAGCACAGAUGGUGGUGGUGGUGCUUUAGGAGAUGACAUUGAUAUGGGUGCAUUGCGUGAUGCUAUUGCUGUCGCUAUGGUUUCAUGAUUCGUUGUUGUACCCAUGAUGGAUGUUUCCAUACUAUUCCGAUCUAUCGUAUGAAUUUCAUAUUAUUGUAAUGUAAUUUCUAUUUAACAAACUCCAAAGGCAUUAGAAUUAUUGUCUUCUCCUCAGAUUCACAAUAAAAAUGAGCUAUUAUCAGCCUUAGGGGCAUUCAGGUCAAUUUACCAACCAGGACAGACAAUCGACACAAAAUAAUUAGGAUUGCCAAACACUCUGCUUAUUCAGACAGCAGCUUAUCCAGGCAGCAGGCUUACCAGAUAAGCUUGCUUGUCAGAUAAGCGAGUUCCAGAAAAGCGUAUACAAACAUGGCCGUAGCCAAGCGCUCCAUCCAGCACGGACUUGCCCACGCUCAACGCGGUGGCCUCCAUGGCUCUCCUCUCGGGUGUGCUGUGUGGUGUGGAUGGGUGUGGAAAUGCUUGGUGCCAGUCCACAAGCCAGCCAUUUGGUUAAAAAGGUGAACUCAACAACUAGAGGACCGAGCAAGUUAAAAAUUUUCAUGAGGACUCGUACUUAGUGUAGCAGUUCCUCAAGUCGUACCAAAUUAAUUUAGUGGUAGGCUAUGUUAAUUAAGUUAUCUAAAAGCUUUUUUACAUAUGCCUCCGGCUAGUAUUGAGAUGCACGCAAGAGAGCUGUUGGGCCAAGCUUGCAGAGUGCUGUCAAGGAUAAGGACAUUUGGAAUCAACUGAAACAUCAUAAUAAGUGCAAAUUUCCCUGCGCGUACCAGACUUCAUUAACUAUAGUUAUAGAUUAUUCGUAAAUUUUACUAUAGGUGUAAACCCUCAACGACUCUUUGCAUUGAGUGCAGGAAAGUACUCGACAAACCCAGAUCGCAGACAAAUGCGAUGACCUCGCCUGAGGUGGUUGGGGCAAAUAAUUCAGGUGCUUGCGCAGCAACGAUGUGCACUGAAGUAUUAAGAUUGAUCAAGCAGGCAGGCUUUGACUGAAUAGUUUGUUCCCGUGCCCUAUACUACGCAAACUAGGAGGGCGACGGCCCAACGACCACGGGUAAAGAAACGAUCUUGCAUCCAGCUACAAAAUUCUCGGUCUUUUUAAACUCGGGACUAAACGAGUUUUAGUCCCAGGUCCAAAAACCAGCUCCAACGGGGGCUCUUUAGUCCCGAUCAGUAAUAUUAACCGGGACUAAAGAGCCAAUUUAGUCCCGGUUGUAAUGGGUAGAAACAACGAGGGAAUCUGGUAGGACAUUUAGUCCCGGUUGGUAAGGCCACUCAUUUAGUCCCGGUUGGUGGUUCCAACCGGGACUAAAGGAUGAUCUUUAGUCCCGGUUGAAACCAACAACUGAGACUAAAUCCUCUCUUUUUCCCCACUGGCGGCCUCAUCUCUCUCCCCACUGCAUUAUCCUCUUUCCCAACCCACCACUGGCCUCUCUCUCUCUCUCCCUCCACAGAUUCCUCUCCCACCUCUCCUCCUCUCUCCUCCCUCCACAAUCUGCCGCUGGAGCACAAGGCCUCCCCGGGCGCCACCCUGGCCGCCAGCGCGCAAGGCCUCCCCGACUCGCCCCCUAGACGCCAGCCGCCGACGUGCGGGCCUCCCAGGCCGCCAGCCACACGUGCGUGCAGGGCCUCCCCAGCCAGCGCCUAGCCGCUAGCAGCCACCGACACGUGAGCCCUCCCGGCUCGCCACCUGGCCACCGGCGGCGUGGGGCUGGUGGCUCCCGAUAGCUACGACGGCGAGCGCGAGGACCAGGAUGAGGAGCAGCGCGGGCUGGGGUAGGGCCAUUGGUGGGUCUGGCAGAGUAGAGCCCGAGGGUCUGCUGUGGGCAGUGCGUCGGCAAGGUUGUUUCCUACCAGCUCGGCGCGCCCACGCGGACGGUGCUCAUCCUUCUUUCACAUACGUUAUCUGUAUGCGUGUGUUUUUUUCCUGAUUCCUGCUUGUUCAUGGGUGUCUUAUUACUUUCUCAUUUUUUUCAUUACCAACUAACCUUUCUUGUUUUUUGCCCUAGCUCCUCCAUCUGUUUUUGGAUUGUGCCCCAACGGUUAUGCUUGUUGCAAAUUAUUUAUUUUCCUUCCUUCCAUCUUCUUACAUUUUUGGUGAAUGGUGUACAAUAGGUUCUAGCAUGUUUGUACAAAGCUCUUGAAAAGUUGUUUUAUGAAAUAUGUUCAUAAUUAAUAACUUGAUGGAACACAUAAGUUGAUCGAAACAAAAUCAGAAAAAGAAAAGUUCAUAGUUGUUGGCUCGAUUCUCUUAUUUGCUUGUGUUUUUUUCCUUUGCAUUAGCAGGUUGUUUUCUUCUGAAGUAAAUGUUUUCUUAUUUUCUAUCUGCAAUAAUUUAGAAGGGGGCCGGGGGGGGGAGUUUUUUUAUUUUUUUUGAACAUUUUAUUCCCGGUUGGUAAUACCAACCGGAACUAAAGGGGCGACGUGCAUGCACAUGCAUGGCGGCCUCUUUAGUCCCGGUUGGUAUUACUAAUCGGGACUAAAGGAGAUCUUUAGUCCCGGGUGAAUGAUCUGGGACAAAAGGGGGGACCUUUAGUCCCGAAUGAUUAGUCCGGUUGGUUUUUCGAGAGAUAUGUGACUUACCAACCGGGACUAAUGCUCAUAUUUCCACCAGUGGACUCACCAGGGAGAAAAGCACUUUAAGUAGUACACUCUAGGUGGAGACGAAUAAAAUGGGGGUGUCGUGUGCGCUUGAGACGGUGGUCAUGGAAAUUUUUACCUCAAACGGCUGGUGUUUUAGUAAUAGACUACCUUUUAUUUGACAUAAGCAUGAUGGAUAUCAUGAUUGUCUUCUUAAACUUUUUCACUAAUAAUGGACAGCUAUAUAUAUCAAUCGAUACAGCUAUAUGUAUCAAUCGAUAUAAUUGUAUCUAAUAAUGUCAUGAUCCGUGGCCGGUUACGGAGAAAGCUCCCGCUGCUUGCGUGGUGGCGAUGAGAGCCUUGCCGGUGGGGAUGGGGCCACGAUUUGGACACUUAAUGUUGAGAUGACAAGGGGAUCACGUUAGGUUCCGUUUGGCCGAGAUGCGGAACACCGCUAAUUGCUGAAGAUGACAACGUGGGGCCGGUAAACAACUGGGCGGGGGGUGGCAACAGCUAAUCUGAACGAGGCGUCGGGCACUGGUGGAAAACGUUUCUGCAUGUUCAUUCUUCCACGUUGCUCUACUGCAUUGCGAAUAAUCUCUGGUUUCUGAGUGACCAACGAGGCAACAAUAUUGGAGACAGAUGACCAGGAGUUGCCCCUUGAGACAUCAGAUACGUGCAGCAAUCGUGCUCAACUGCUCAGUGUGAACAUCUAGGAUCGAAGCCCUCUAGUAUAAGCUAUCAGAGGGGUGAAUGACUGAAUGAUAGCAAUAAAUCGCAGCGGAAAAUUUUUCACCAUAAAAAUAGAUUCUGGAUCGUCCACUUAAUCGUGUGUCGUUCUUAGAAUUUAACUCCUAUCGACGUGAAACUUGACCAGAAAAUAGUCUAUGAAAUUGUGCAACUAACGCACAAACCUACAGACAAGCUGCUCUGCGGUAGGGGAGAAAACUUCAGCAAAACACUAAAGCUUCUAUGCAGAGUAAAAAAUUAGAUCCUUGAAUCAAAUGAACUACAAUUAAUUGCAUGGGGUUCUUAGUAGUAGGUGUUAGAGAUAACUGAGAACAUGUGAUGCCUCCAGGGUGUAUCCUUCCUUAUUCUCGAGUCAAUUCCAUGGAUGGACGCGCGUGAGGAUGCAUCCACAACUUGUAGCGAAGCAUGUGACCUUGUAUGUGGUGAGAGCAAGCCCAGUGAUGGUUCACUCUGGUGUUCCGCAACUUGCUGCAAGGCCACCUCGUCAGCAACAGAUUUGGCGUAGCCAAGCGCAACAGUGGUGUGUGGAUAUUAAGCUGAUGGUUGUGAAGUGUAGUGCCGAUCCAGAAGCCAGACAUGCAUGGACUGAGACAGAUCAUCAGUGACAAGACAGAAAGUUGGCAUUUAUUUGUUUUAGAAGACUUAGCGACGAUAGUUGCUCAGGUCGUGAUAAGAAGCUAUUCUCAGCUACCAGACUUCAUUGACUAUAGUUAUAGAUGCUGCAACUGUACUAGAUCGAGACAAGUUACACAUUAUUCGUAAUUUUUUCUACAGGUGUAAACCCAUUGAUCCCUCAACGACUCUUUGCAUUGAGUGCAGAAAAGAUGCAGACAACUGCGAUGACCUCGCCUGAGGUGGUUAGGGCAAAUAAUUGAGGUGCCUGAGGUGGAUGUCAUGGUUGUCUUAUUAAGUUCUUUCACUUUCAUUUGGAGCAUGAUCUUAUUUGUAAUCAAUCGAUACAGCUAUAUGUAAUUAAUAAUGUCAUGAUCUGUGGCCAGUUGCGGAGAAAGCUCCCGCUGCUUGCGUGGCAGCGAUGGGGACCUCGCCAGCAGGGACGGGGCCAUGGUUUGGACUUCGGAGAGCCCGCGCCGCUGCGCCAAUGGCUGUUGGGCGCCGGCCGGGGCCCAGCUGGAAGGUGGUGAGGAGAGCCAUGCGAGCCUGUCCAAUUCCACGCACGGCGGCCGCGACGACAAGAGGAUCGCAUUAGGUUCCGUUUGGCCGAGAUGCGGAACCAAUCACACCGCUAAUUGCUGAAGAUGACAACGCGGGGAAUCAUGUCAAUAGGAGAUCUAUAACUCGAGAUAUAAAAUAAACAAGCAGAUGGUGACGAGAACUGGUCAAGCCCUAAUUCCGUGAGUAAGCAAAAUAUAUAAAAAGCUAAUGAAUCAAAAUUCUAAGAUCACUAACUUGAUGCCCUAACAUGGUUUUGGAUGGAUCAAAUCUAAUCACGUUGAACAAUGAAACGAUCUAAACCAAAACUGAAGAAUGAGCAUGCAAGAUGAAAAGCGGAUACAUCGAGGGAGAACAAAAAUUACCAAAACAUCAGUUACGAAACCUUAAUCUUCGUUGCAUCGAAGAAGUGUUAAAAAUGCCUAUACAAGCAUCUUAACCAUACAAAGAUGUUCACGAGAUCCCCAAACUUUAGACUCCGCUAGAAAAAGCAGAAGCGCCACCGCUUGCGUUGUCGUCUGGCUUGGGCGCCAUCACUGUACCGAACUUGGCCGGUUCGGUCUCCUCUUAGGCAAGUACAUUGGUGUUGUCUAAUAGUCGGUCUCAUAUAUUAACAUGUAAUAUUGAGAUGAGUUAACAAACAAUCCGUACGGGUUGUCUUUUUAAGUUGCCUCAUAGCAAUUCUAUUUCCUUAAUUUGUGCAUAGAAAAAAAAGAAAUAUUAUUGUUCUAUGGUAACCACAACUCAUACAAUGGUAGAGUAGUCGUCUCAUAGUCCUAAAAUCUAACCUAUGAGGCGUAUCUUUCUCUCUCCUCAUUCUCUCUCUUCCACAUCAGCAAAAAUCUUACGUGGCACUGAUGACCCUCAUAGCUGAGGUGUAUCAAUGUACUUACCCUUGUAUUUGCCGACGUCAACACCUGACGUGGGCCUUCUCUUUUUUUCACGUUGCGUUGGCCUCAUGUCCGAUUGGUGGUGGACUUGCACCAAACGUGUCCCACAUGGACACAGCACCACACGGCCUGACCCAGGCCCAUUACUGAUGUCAACAGUAGCUCUCUUAAAUUCCUUAAUUCUAGAUAUAGGAUGAUGAACUGAAAAUUUCAUGCUAAUAUCUAGCUAGUUCCUAAAUAAUUUCGUAUUAGCAUAUACUAAUCAACAGCAAAUGUGUUGUAGAAAGUAGUGGUAGACUAAGCAAUUGGCAGUGUUAUACACGUCCUCCAAUGUUGGACCUUUAUCAUGAAGCUUGCUCUGUUUUUUUUUGGGUUUCACACGGCAGAUGGAAGAACAGAAUCUUUGCUUUCCUAACUAACUAAAGCUAAAGCGAUCAUGCUUCCCGUACCAUCCAAAGAACUGAAGAUAAAGCAAAGGAGCCGGUACGAUGGGAGAAGAUGAGAGAUUUAUCUUAACACCUUUGUGCUUCGGGCGGGAGAGCAAAUUGCUAUCUGUGAAAGCUAUUUCCCUAUUUCUUGUACCAUUGUUUUGCAUGGCAGCCUGCCAGCCAAAGCUUGAUCUAAACCCAAAACCAAACUAAACGAAAACAAACAGAAGAAGGUAAGAACUCAAAACAAUUUACCGCUAACAGUAAAUGAUAAAACCAGACUUCCUCCCUUCACUACAGAAAAAUCGGACCUUUUAUCCGUGGAACGUAAUGAGAUCUUUCAUCGAUGGAUGCGUGGCAUCUCUGGCGCGCGCGACCGGGGUUGUCGCGGCUUCCAGAAACGCAAGCGAUGAUACACGUGGAGCGAGUUGGUCACUUGGGUUAUUGUCGGAUUUCAGUCAGGUGCUUUCAGCAUGGUACAACAAGACCGUAAGAAGCAGAGCAAUCCUGAGCAGCGCAACCAGCCGCUGCAACGAACUUCAACGGUACAAUGCCAAGCCGCGGAGCAAUCGUGGAUUACUUUACUGACAAGGCACAGCCAUGACCAGCCGCAGCUUCGUCAUGCCUCUGCUAAAUCGCUGACAAGGCUGGAGGUCUCGUCAGUUACCUCUUCAAAACGGGUGCUUUUGGAUUCUCCAGAAGCUGGGCCCGCACGUCUUCCACAAAAUUCUCCUUGUAUUCAUCGUUGUCCAAUUCCUGGAUGGUGGAGUUCAACCAAUUUACUUGUAUCAUAUGGUUCAUUCCUAUUAGUAAAAUAAUAAAUUAAUUGGGAUGGUUUUAUCAUGGAUAAGUUGGUACAAUAAACUGAUCAUUAUUAUUUUGAACCAUUUCAUACACGAACCAAAUGAUACGAGCAACAAAAACAACCUAUAUUACCCAGACCUGAUGUGCCUUCCAAUAUGCUCUAGGUGAUGAUUAUAUUAACCAGACCUUAUGUGCCUUCCAAGUCCAGCACACGCAAGAACCUCAUCUUGUCAGAAAUGAAAAAGGACCUCCGUUUCCCAAACAUUGUUAAUGAGCGUACACGGGACAGAUCAACUUUGUUCUCAAACUCACUCUUACCACCCACCGCAGCACAUGCCAUGUCUCUGGACUGCAGAGACCUGAGAGAGAAAAAACAGGGCGCAUUACAGCAUCGUACGUCUGUACCUUGAUCUCGGACUGUCUCCCCGUGGCCCUGAAACCAAGCGAGGCGCGGCAUGCAUGCCCGGGUGCUUGGCGGCUGCGCGCAUGGUCUCGCUCUCGGCAACUUGGCUUGUCCGUUAGCUUCCUGCGAGCGGCCAAAUGGGUCCCUACUUGAAUAGGGCCUUGCUCUGGAGCUGCUCUCAUGGUGAAAUGUGCAGCACCAGUAGCCCAACACAGACAUACCUCCGUUCCUCUGCAUACUCAAAAGCUCCCGCUGCUCGCGUGGUGCCGUGGUGUCCUUGGGAAGGGAAUCGAUAUGGGGAACCAAAACACAGUGCUGAAAUGUAUCAUGUAAAUGAAACUCUUUAUUGCAUUAAAAAAAUAUGAAAAAUACUACUUCAGCGAAGCACGAAAAAUUAUGUGACCUGUAAUGGAGUACCGUGCAUUUCCUCUGUUGAUAAUGGCAGGGACGCAAGGGAGCUGCAACAUCACUUGCAAAGAAAAAUGAUGCCAAACCAGCAACCCUGCAGAUCAUUGUGGUGAACGUUCAUACAAAUGACCUGUAUAGUUAAUCAUAUAUAGUCCACACCAAUCUUUGUAGCCCAAUUACUGAACUGAUGAACAUUAUUUCACUUUUAUCAGGCGAUGCAGGAUGGAGCAGCACGCCAGUUAUUCUUAUUUGGCACAACCACAUAAGCAAAAAAAGGAAUACGUACGUACUGACGAACAAAACAAAAAAAAAAGAUGAUACAGAGACGCGGCACUAGGCCCACGUACAGGAUACUGACACGAUCCAUCUUUUUAGCUGCAUGCGUUAAAAAAGAAAUACAUCAGCAGUAGGACUGGAGAUUAAUUUUACACACACAUCAAUUGUUCAGAUGCACAAAGAGGGUAACAGGGAAACAGCAAGAGCAAUGACAUGGCACGACGAUCGGCUGACUUUGCAGCACCUCACGACCUCUUCAAAGCGGGUCCAUUUGGAUUGGCACCAAGCUGGCCCUGCAGGUCUUCCAUGAAAGCGUGCUCAUAAGUUUUGCUGUCCAGCAUAAAUUCCUUGAGGCUCCGGAGCAAUGGUAGCCCGGAAAACAUCCCUGUGUUGGUUUCUUCAAGCUUGCCACGAAAAUCCAGCCGCUCAAGCCGAAGCAUUGCCCCUUCUUCAAACUCCACCGAUUUCAGGCCAUCUAUGUCAUUUAGCUCCAGCACUAUCAGACUUGGGAAUGCCUCCGGAUGGAAGGUGAAACGGAGGUCGUCAACCUGGAACGACUUCGCCCCCAGACGUAAGCUGACCAGGUUUGGAAGCUUCCCAAGAACUUGGAGUGCAGGUUCGUGUUCCAGUAUUCUAGAGCUCCUUAGAACCAACUUCACAAGAUUCUUGAGCCCCUCGACCCAUCCUGGCAAUUUGAGCAGAUUGCCGUAUAUCUUGAGGCUUGCAGGUUUUUCGGAGCGGAGGUCAAGCCAUCCAAACAGCCAUGCAAACCUGGCAUCCCACGUGCCUGCACUAGCAAAGAUUCCAGGUAGCUGAGAUUGGCAACGACUGAACACAAUUCCUGGCCGUUUUCCUGGUUGAUGCCAGCCACAGCUAACUUGCGCAACUGGGUCAGUCGUUUUAUGUCCCGUAGAAUUGCUUUGUCCCAUGCGAGAUUCACAAGACCCAAUGUGCGCAGGGAUUUUAGUUUCCCUAUCCCUCUUGGCAUCCAAGUUGGACCUUCUUUCGCCAUCAGAAGAGGGAGCAUGACGCAGCAACACUGAGUGCAUACAUCACACCUAUUCAUGUCACCAUCCACAUCCAUAACCUCUUUAAGAAGUUGAGGUGCGCAACAUGCCAUGCAAAAUCCUAGCAACCAACCCAUACAAAUGCAUGGCCCCAGCACUACUUUUGGCAGUUCUUCAAAUGCAUUUAAUGAAUCAUCAUCCUUUCCAACAGCCCCAACACAAAGAUAUUGUAGCUUCUUGAGCUUGGUGAUGGUCUUGGGCAGCUUAAAAAUCGAUGUUUUUGAAAUAUCUAGUGUUUCUAGUUGCUUCAGAUUACCCAACGAAUCUGAUACGUGAAAAAUAUAAUCACAUCCUCUUAGAGAAAGGUAUCUGAGGUGAAGAAGCUUCCCAAUAUACUCUACGUGAUGAUUAACCAGACCUGAUGUGCCUUCCAAGUCCAGCACACGCAAGAACCUCAUCUUGUCAGAAAUGAAAAAGGACCUCCACUUCCCAAACACUGUUAACGAGCGUAUGCGGGACAGAUCCACUUUGUUCUCAAACUCACUCUUAUCUGCUUCCCAGUUGGUGCUUAUGACAAGGUGACGAACUGUGCCCUGGGUGUUUGAGCUGCAACCUUCCUCCAUUCUAAAAACAAGAUUUUCUUCUAUAGACUUUGAGAUGCUAAUCUCACGCAUGAGAUCAUGGACUUGGCAAGAGUCAAUUCCUUUUCUACUAUUAACUGAUAGCUGAGAAGGUAGGAUCAUGCUCCUCUCUAUUAGUUCCAUGAAGUAGUUGUCAGCUACUUCUUCUGGGGACUUAUCUCGAAUCUCCCGUGAGUAACCUUCUGCACUCCACCGUCGUAUCAAACAUCUUCGACUAAUCUUGUGAUCUUCAGGGAAGACGGAUGUAUACAGGAAACAAGACUUAAGAUGAUAUGGUAGACCAUCGUAACUUUUACCGAGAAUUGUUUUUAUGGCCCCAACCUCUGGGUUCAUUUCCAAUUCAGCACUAAUAUGCUCAUUCAAUUUCCUCCACUCUACCGCUACUUUUGGUUGCUUUGCCAAGAAGCCUCUGAUGGUGACUAUUGCAAGGGGAAGUCCAUUGCACUUCUUCAAGAUCAUGUUUGCUUCUUUGAUCAAUUCAGGAUGCUUGUCCAAAUCUUUGUCCUCCUUAAAUACCUGAAAUCAGUAGUGCUUAUUAUGUUCUUUGAGAUUGAAAAUACGUACGAAUGGUCUAUGUAGUUUACUUAUUUAUUAGAAUGACUAUGGCACAAUUAUUAGUCUCAUGCCUAUUGAAGAAUAGAACUAUUAGUUAUGAUGUCCUUAUAUCGUAAUGAAAGAUAACACAAAUGGCAGCAGGAUUAUAUUGCAAUAUAGUAUACCUUUCUUGUGAAGAGGUCUUGUGCAUCCUUGCAUUCAAGAACUUUGAGCUUGUAUAUGUUUUUUUGUUUCUCUGAACAAUGUUUUGCUAUACUCUCUUCCCUUGUGGUCACUAUAAUCCGGCAUGAACUAUCUAAUUUAGGGAAGCUUCCAAAUAUAUUAUCCCAUUCUGCUAUUGAUGAAAGAUCAUCAAGAACAAUCAAGCACUUCCUCCCUUCAAGAAGCCUAGCUAACUCUUUUAUUAAUGCUUCAACUCCCAUCAUUAUUGGGGCUGUGUUUCUUGCACCAUGUGCAAAAUCUAUUGCUCCUUUCUUUUCAGAAGAUUGUACAUUUAGUUGCAUAAUUAAGCUCUUCAGGAACUCCUUAAGAAUGAAAGGGCGCAUCACUGUAACACAAGCAUGCUUCUCAAACACACCAACAUGCUUCUGACUUUCAUAAACAUCUUUGAUCAGAGUAGUUUUCCCAAGACCACCCAUUCCCUAUACUGAGAUCACUGCAAGCUCAUGAUUAGAUGGAUUUGAAAUGAGGUUGAUGAUAUCAGUUUUUUCUUUCUGCCGACCGAUAAGUUGUGAUUCCUCCAAAGCACUUGCCAUAGUUUUGAUGCGAGCAAGGCUUUUUGCAAAUACCUUUAUCUCAUUGCCACCUUGAGAUUGAUGUCCCAGUGUUACAUUAGUACUUAUUGAUUCAUCUGAGCUAGACACUACCAGUGGUAUUUUUAUUUGAUCUUGACAAUCCUAUGCAGAGGUAAACUUUAGUUAUCAGAAUUUUAAAUUUGUCGAUGUUUAAACAAUAUUUUGACUCAAAAAGGUAAAUUCUAGCAUAAAUGCAUAUAAAUUUAUGAUGGGCACAGAUAGAUUGCUUGGGUAAUUAAAAGAAACAAGAUAGAUUGAUUUGGCAAGAAUGGAAUUAUAACAUAUAGGGGAGGCUAGUAUCUAGCCCAAUUACAAAUGAGGUGUUUAGAUAGAACUAUAAUGUGCAAGAUUGUUAUUGGCCAAUAUAUAGAUUUUCUUUAACACUAAUAUUACUAACAAUAGAUUCUAUUUGGAUGAUCGAUGUUAAUUCUCACUAGACAUGCUAGAAAAAUAGAUAGAUCUUAGAAAAUCUCACAAAGAGCGAAACAUUCUACCAUCAAUUUUGUAGACUCAAUCGUUGUUGAUAACAAUAAGCAUAGGAUGUAAUUUACUUUAAAAAUGACCUACCUCUACCAUUACAAAGAUAAUAUCCAAAAUCUACACCUAAAAUCCCCACAUAUGCCAUUAUGAAUAAGAAUUUAAUCAUCCCCUAAAUCUCCAUACAAGUGACCAAUCACUGCUACUAUGAAAAUAAAGCAUAAGUAACCUCGCAAUUUGUAUCUAAAUUACCAAUACCCUCUGCCAUUAUGAAUAAGAAUUUAAAUAAGAUAAUAAAUUUGUGCCUAGAUUAUCCAUCAUUUCCAUUAUUAAAAAUAACUUAAAGUAAUGCUUAAAUCUACAUCUGAAUUGCACAUUUCUAUGAUUAUAAAGUAUAAUAACCCAAAGCAUGCCCUAUAAAUGCUUCUAAAAUGAUCAUUUGUAUCAUCAUUAAUAUGUGAAAAAACUAAAGUAUACACAUCCAUGAUGUUUACCACCAUAGAAACCAAGUAGCAAGCAUGUAGGGAUCAAUAGAUAACAUUUUGACUGACAACAUUAUAACAUCUACAAUGAUAGUUACAUUAUGACCACUCUAAUUAUUUUCUCCCUCAAGCUAUUCUUUUGAUCUAUUUUUGUAACAUAAGUUAUAAUGUCAUGUGUCGUCCCAAUUAAUAUGAACUUAAAACUCAACCGGUACAUGGAGAAACAAAAAAAAAAUCUCAUUAGGGGUAGCAUAGACCAAUUGAAAUAGUUUGGGGAGUACAUCUAGUUAUUCAAGGAACUAAGCGGACAUAGUGGAUUGCUUAGGGUAGUAAAAUAGACAUCUUCAUUUAGUAAAGUUUUUCUAUAAGAAAUGUUUACACCUCUAGACAUGCUGGUUGACAAUCUUGUUUAUUCCUUCCACUUCUAACAGUUAUGCUUCUUAUGCUACCAUGUAUAGGAGCAUGUACUUGUUGAUGGACUCGUCCUUAUGGACGAAAAUUGAUACAUUUUUUCCCGUGCCUAUAAAUAUGGUAAAAGAAUACUGGAUACAACAACCUGAAUCCUUGUAACUAUCUGAGAUAAAGAAAAAUAACAAGAGGUGACACUAAUUCGAUAAUUUCUGAAGGAUGAAUAGUACCUUCUCGUAGAAAGCAUAAAUAGUCUGAUGAGCGGAGAACUGCUAAAGCUCCAACGCUUGGCAUUCUUGCCCUGCACACAAGCUUGCAACUUCAAUUUGUAGGCUGCAAACUAUGAUUCGACUCCCUUUCUUGUGGUUCGGCGGCAGACAUGCUUUAACCCCAUUCCACUCUUCGAAGGUGGACAAGUUAUUAAGCACAAUCAGGAAACUAUUCUCGCUUAGGUAUCCAGAGAACUCCUCUGCCAAUUCUUUUCCUGUCUUCUUGGUCUCCAACAGAACAUCGACCCCCACGGCUGAUCGGAACUGCUUCACUAAGCUUUGGCUGAAGUCAUUCGGAUUGAAGGGAUGCGAGAUCCUUACCCAUGCCCGGCACGAAAACUUCUUUUUGAUAUGUGGAUUCUCGUAGGCAACGUUGAUGAUGGAUGUCUGCCCAAGAUCACCACUGGUUCCCCACACUGCGAUCACUCUAAGAUCCUCGCCCGGUGAUUCAGCACUUCGAGCAAGAUCAUCGAGGAGAGGCGGUGUUGAUUGAGCCCGGAGAUGGUGGAGAUGC
Molecule: long non-coding RNA, 38410 nt
Filed under: Setaria italica (foxtail millet)
Lineage: Eukaryota; Viridiplantae; Streptophyta; Magnoliopsida; Poales; Poaceae
Description: long non-coding RNA (SITA_LNC004839)
Source: RNAcentral